CCUACGGGAUGCAGCAGUAGGGAAUCUUCGGCAAUGGACGAAAGUCUGACCGAGCAACGCCGCGUGAGUGAGGAAGGUUUUCGGAACGUAAAACUCUGUUGGUAGAGAAGAACGUUGGUGAGAGUGGAAAGCUCAUCAAGUGACGGUAACUACCCAGAAAGGGACGGCUAACUACGUGCCAGCAGCCGCGGUAAUACGUAGGUCCCGAGCGUUGUCCGGAUUUAUUGGGCGUAAAGCGAGCGCAGGUGGUUUAUUAAGUCUGGUGUAAAAGGCAGUGGCUCAACCAUUGUAUGCAUCGGAAACUGGUAGACUUGAGUGCAGGAGAGGAGAGUGGAAUUCCAUGUGUAGCGGUGAAAUGCGUAGGUAUAUGGAGGAACACCGGUGGCGAAAGCGGCUCUCUGGCCUGUAACUGACACUGAGGCUCGAAAGCGUGGGGAGCAAGCAGGAUUAGAUACCCGUGUAGUC
Molecule: ribosomal RNA, 465 nt
Filed under: uncultured bacterium
Lineage: Bacteria
Description: bacterial SSU rRNA
Rfam family: Bacterial small subunit ribosomal RNA
Source: RNAcentral